GAUGAACGCUGGCGGCGUGCCUAAUACAUGCAAGUCGAGCGAACGGACGAGAAGCUUGCUUCUCUGAUGUUAGCGGCGGACGGGUGAGUAACACGUGGAUAACCUACCUAUAAGACUGGGAUAACUUCGGGAAACCGGCGCUAAUACCGGAUAAUAUUUUGAACCGCAUGGUUCAAAAGUGAAAGACGGUCUUGCUGUCACUUAUAGAUGGAUCCGCGCUGCAUUAGCUAGUUGGUAAGGUAACGGCUUACCAAGGCAACGAUGCAUAGCCGACCUGAGAGGGUGAUCGGCCCAACCAGACCUGAGACACGGUCCAGACUCCUACGGGAGGCAGCAGUAGGGAAUCUUCCGCAAUGGGCGAAAGCCUGACGGAGCAACGCCGCGUGAGGGAUGAAGGUCUUCGGAUCGUAAAACUCUGUUAUUAGGGAAGAACAUAUGUGUAAGUAACUGUGCACAUCUUGACGGGACCUAAUCAGAAAGCCACGGCUAACUACGUG
RNAcentral lists this ribosomal RNA (497 nucleotides) under uncultured bacterium. Its description in RNAcentral is "partial 16S ribosomal RNA". It matches the Rfam family "Bacterial small subunit ribosomal RNA", at positions 28 to 507 of the family's 1533-position model. The record is from RNAcentral.